This 245-nucleotide ribosomal RNA is filed under the name uncultured bacterium. Its description in RNAcentral is "partial 16S ribosomal RNA". It matches the Rfam family "Bacterial small subunit ribosomal RNA", at positions 109 to 354 of the family's 1533-position model. The record is from RNAcentral.
AGUAACGCGUGGGCAACCUGCCCUGUACAGGGGGACAACAGCCGGAAACGGCUGCUAAUACCGCAUAAGCGCACAGCUUUGCAUGAAGCAGUGUGAAAAACUCCGGUGGUACAGGAUGGGCCCGCGUCUGAUUAGCUAGUUGGCGGGAUAGAAGCCCACCAAGGCGACGAUCAGUAGCCGGCCUGAGAGGGUGGACGGCCACAUUGGGACUGAGACACGGCCCAGACUCCUACGGGAGGCAGCAG